RNAcentral lists this unclassified non-coding RNA (10665 nucleotides) under Orbicella faveolata. Its description in RNAcentral is "melanocyte-stimulating hormone receptor-like, transcript variant X8". The record is from RNAcentral. Lineage: Eukaryota; Metazoa; Cnidaria; Anthozoa; Scleractinia; Merulinidae.
CGUUUUCAAAAUGUUUUGAUGUCCACACUAAAACGCAAAGCCGGCGUUUUCAAAUUCCUUUGAAUGACGGACUAGUGACGGACUAGUGUGGACGGUAGGCCUAACCGGAGAAAUGAGGCUCCGUUUACAAAUUCCUCCGGCUUAGUGUGGACAGGGCGUGAACACUAGUACGUCUAGGAGUUAUGUCUUUACUUUAGUAGGCUCCUUCACAAACGAUGUUCAGGCUCGUCAAGAAAGUCUAUGUAAGAACCUCUGUAAAAGCGAGUUAAUAGUCUAGAAAUUUACAUCUGGAUGUUAUGUCCUUUUAAAACCUAAAAUUUGGUCUAGGUAUUUACAAAUUAAGCAGAAUGUCAUUGGAGUUUUUUAAUUGCGCUUUUCGUUAGUUACAAUUGUCUGUAUGGUUGUUAUCUUUGAAUGCCAUUGGAGGAGGUUGACAACAAGUUGUACUUUACUUCGUGCAAGAGCCAUGCAAAUUUAGUAAAGAUAUUUGCAAAUUUGGCAGGACGUCACUGGGUAUUUUUUUAUUGCGCUUUUCAUUAUUUACAAUUGUCUGUAUCGUUGUUAGCUCUGAAAGCCAUUGGAGGAGGUUGACAACAAGUUGUAUUUUACUUCGUGCAAGAAAGAGAGUGGUAGCGUGUUUCGUCACUUAUGAUUAUGUUAAGUGCAAGUAUGGUGCUGUUCAAGUUCUCCAAUUUCGAGGGCUUGUUUGUAAAACAUGACAUAUCGUAUUUCCAAAUUGCAAUAACAGGCAAGACAUGUAAAUUUAAAGUGAAACAAUUGUUUACCAAAGGAAGAAAAUACUGUUUAAUUUCGUUUUGCCAUUGUUAAAGCUUCCUCUCUCGCUCCAGGAAACAUGUUCAAACUUUCUACCUAGAUGUUUAAAAACAGGGUCAUGCAUACAGAAAAAACAAGAUAAGUGAAAGCUUUUUUCUCAACUUGAAAUGGCCGAGUCCUGGUAUGGAAAUGACUGACUUGUUCUGUAAAAAUAUAUUGAAAAGGUCUUCUAGUUUAGUAUUUGAUUUAAACUGAACUGUGCCUUGGAUCAAGGACUUAAUAGUUUACUUGAAAUGCCGCAAUGUAUUUAUUUGUUAUGUUAUGGUUUCACCAGGGCUUUUUAUCUUAAAUUAAGUGAUCUUUGACUGUAGUUAUGUUCGACUGGGAUCAAUGAAGAUGGCAUUCUUAACUGUUCUCGCUUGGCACUUGUGUACAAACCGAACUUGAAACCGAAAUUUCAGCGGCUUGUGUAGUAAUUCCUGAUCAUUCGUUGGUUCAGUCAUGUAAUUCUUGGUACCAACUAAAGCUCUGCAGUCACGUUUCUGACGCCAUUAGAAAAGCGGACGUGACCAUUCUCCCUCCAACAGCAUUUUUCAUUCUUUUGUUUUCGUUUGAAAUAUCAGUUGCAGGUGCGCGACUAUGCCCGCGGCUAUGUCAGAUACUGCACUAAAAAAAUAUACGAGGCAGGAAAUUGGUAUUUACCCCAACAUACAGGGAACGUCUCUCAUUGGUUUUAACAAGCCGUAAAUUUCACUCCGAGGUGCUCUUGAUAACACUGAUCACAUUCGAAUUCAUGAUAUCAAUUUGUUCCACGUUAACAAAACUCUUCUUAACGGCCCCAUGUCGUUGUGUGAAGACAUCCAAGCUAGGGCGGUUCUCUUGUCAGCCUUCAUUUGAAUAUUUACAUUUACCCUAAAGACUUAAAAAUGCUAUUCACCGCGGCCAUUCUUAUUAUUGUUUAAAAUAACUAGGAAAUAUGGCUGACAAACCAGCCAAACUGAUAUUCACUGAGCUAAAGUUUAGAUCGAGCAUAAUUACGAUGCAAAAGUCGUUAUUUAAAAACGUGAUGUUGUCAGCAACAGUUUCUCCCUUAUUCUUUAUUGGCAAAUCCCACCUGCGCAAAACUAUUUGUUGAGAUCAAAUUGUUCCGAGGCCUUUGACUUUUUCCGUGUUGAUUAAGAAUGCGCAUGACAUUAAGCGUGUAAAUGACUCUUUCCGCGCAAUUCAUUGUAAUUGAAUGAGCAUUAUUUUGGCGUCUUGGAUGUGAACGAUUAGUGCGUUCCUGCUUAGAGGGAUCAAGUUUCUUGCGUGUUUAGCACCUAGCAACAACAAAGUGGCUAUUUGCACAUGAGCGCGCUUUUUCAGUGGAGUGUAACACGUAAUGAGUGCGAGGAAACGACACGAUUGGAGAUUUCAGUCUUGUGUUUGUAAUUUUUUUCAGAGAGCGUAUCCGUCGCCGUUGUUGAUGACAGGUUUAGAGGACUAGUCCUCCUUCCACGAUAUCCACAAGAUGACCGAGGUCAACAGCCUUGCAACUAACUGUUCUUUUAUGGUCGAUAAUCCCGAGCGACGACGUCAGCUAUUCGGGACUAACAUCGCGGUCAUCGUGUUGAAUUCGAUUUUUGCGUUGACGACUACCUUCCAGAACUUGCCAGUUAUUUACGCGAUUUUGAAAACGCCAUCCUUGCACAAUCCUCCCUACGUCCUCCUGUGCUCACUGGCCACGACGGAUCUCUUGGUGGGAUGCGUCAUACAACCUCUGUACAUCGCACACAAUGCCAUGCUCGUCGAUGGACUGCGCUUUUCCUGCGCGCUGUGGUAUGCCAAAGAGACCCUGUUACUCUUAUUCAUGUUUCUAUCGAUCUGUACCUUGGUGUUGAUUAGCACCGAGCGCUGGCUCGCCUUACAUUUCCACCUCAGAUAUCGUGAAAUUGUCACGAUGUCUCGAACGCUCUCGUCGAUUGGGUCAACUUGGUUCUUUUGCACGGCGUCCGUCAUCGCCUGGCCGUUAGGUCUUAAUAUGUACAGUUUCACAAUGGUCGGCCUUAUUGUUAUUACAGCAGCCGCGCUUCUAUUGCUUUUUACGUAUAUUAAGUUAUUUCUGAUACUGCGGCGUCACAAAGCUCUCAUUGAGAGUCAAGCCAAGCUGCAACCCCAAUCUGUGAACUUACGAAAACAUAGAAAGUCGUCGGCCACCAUGCUGUACCUGGUGAUGUUGUUUUUCAUAUUCUACUCACCUACUUUUUACGCCAUGAUUCAUUACUUGGAAUCAGACUCUGAUUUCAGCAGCGUUAAUCAGACCAUUUUGUGGGAAGUUGCAAAAACAGUGGCGUUGAUAAACGCCUCGGUAAAUCCGAUCAUGUAUUACUGGAAAAUGCGGGAACUUCGACGCGCCAUGCGAAACGUAUUCGGUUUUUCGUCAGCAACGCGGGUUCACGUCGGAGAUGUCAUAACGCCCGGAUCGGGAAGCAUGGACAAUGACUUCAGAAGCAGGAACGAACAACAGCGCCAAGGGUCUUUCUCGGUGAGACCGCGGGGAAGCUUGUCCAACGUGGGGCCUGCCAGGUCUGAUAUACACCAAGAUCAGGUAACAGAAUCGACAACAGAAGCGAAGCCGCAGCAGGAAAAAAAGUUGUUCCUUUUGCCGAGAUUUCUGGAGCCUGGUCCGAGUUUUCGAGGAUAAUUUCCGCUGAAGAAGGGUGAAUAAAACAGGUUAUGUAAUAGAAGCAAUGAACCGUACGAUUUUUUGAGGUGGUUAUGGUGCGAAAAUUCUCGUUAAUUGUCCAGUAUUAUAUAGAAUCCAAGUGGGAUGACGUUAAAGCUCAGUUAAAACGUAGCUUUUUUUUAUAUCAGAGAUCAGAAAACAGAGUUCAAGUUUUCGGUAGAUUUACUGUUCUCGCCUAAACACCAAUCGUGUUUUAAUCGUCUACAUAUUGAGCUUGCGUUUAGUUUACCAGGAGAAAAGAUACAUAGGAUUUCUUUUGACUUUCCAGGGGCUAUUAGUUUAGUUGAUUUCGAUAUUCACGUCGUUGAAGACUGCAAUUUACAGACUUCUUUCAAGGGCCCUUAAAGCAACAAGAAUAGAGUAAAAAAUUAAUUUUCUCUUUCGCCUUGGCUGGAAUUGUCAUAUUUGUCCGUUCCUUAACGUAUUUAGUUUAACUGUUGAAGGCACUUCCCGUUUAGUUUAAGUUUUCAGUUUUAAUUCUUAACAAUUUUGUACUUUUAUAAUUCUUUCCUGAUUUUUCUUGAAAGGAUUCAACCAACAAAAGAAACAAUUCAGUUGAUGCGGAACAUCUAGCGCAGGAUAUGUUUAGACUUUAGUGGACAAUAUUUUGCGUUAUGCUAAUUCUCCUUUCUUUUUUAAUCAUCUGCCCUGGAGAAAACCGAUCUUCAAUUGCUAUCUGACAUGCUAUCAUUUGCUUUUCACUUAUUUUUUCUCCCCUUUUGGCAAAGCGACAAACUGAGUUAAAAACAAAAGCGCACCUGAUUAGAAUCGAAACUAAUAUGUUAGGUAUAUAGCUUGUUUAAUUUGGCAAUUUAAAUUAUGAAAAUGUUUUUAAACCUCCUCAGAUCUCAUAUAAAUUAUUUCCUUUGGCAUAAUAGCUGAUACCUGAUAGUGAUUUUAAUUUUUCUGCGUUUUUCCUUGUGUUAUGUUGUUAAAUAAAGACAAUAGUGUUUUGUCAUCGCGUUAUUGGCAGUUUCCCGUUUGGCGAUUCGUUAUUGAUAGUUUGCCAUGAUGUGUGAUAUUUUUAUUUAGUGCCGUCUUCUUAGUAGACUUGGCAGCAAUUGAAGAUGCUGUUCAAAAUUAGCGAAACUUCAACACCGAAUCUGUAAUUUAACGAUAAUCGCUUUUCCACCUUGAUUUAAAUAAGAUAAUAACGACACUGGAAAUUACCCACGAAUGUAAUGCUAUUGUACAAACGUCUUAAAAUGUACCUAGAUGUUUAAAAACAGGGUCAUGCAUACAGAAAAAACAAGAUAAGUGAAAGCUUUUUUCUCAACUUGAAAUGGCCGAGUCCUGGUAUGGAAAUGACUGACUUGUUCUGUAAAAAUAUAUUGAAAAGGUCUUCUAGUUUAGUAUUUGAUUUAAACUGAACUGUGCCUUGGAUCAAGGACUUAAUAGUUUACUUGAAAUGCCGCAAUGUAUUUAUUUGUUAUGUUAUGGUUUCACCAGGGCUUUUUAUCUUAAAUUAAGUGAUCUUUGACUGUAGUUAUGUUCGACUGGGAUCAAUGAAGAUGGCAUUCUUAACUGUUCUCGCUUGGCACUUGUGUACAAACCGAACUUGAAACCGAAAUUUCAGCGGCUUGUGUAGUAAUUCCUGAUCAUUCGUUGGUUCAGUCAUGUAAUUCUUGGUACCAACUAAAGCUCUGCAGUCACGUUUCUGACGCCAUUAGAAAAGCGGACGUGACCAUUCUCCCUCCAACAGCAUUUUUCAUUCUUUUGUUUUCGUUUGAAAUAUCAGUUGCAGGUGCGCGACUAUGCCCGCGGCUAUGUCAGAUACUGCACUAAAAAAAUAUACGAGGCAGGAAAUUGGUAUUUACCCCAACAUACAGGGAACGUCUCUCAUUGGUUUUAACAAGCCGUAAAUUUCACUCCGAGGUGCUCUUGAUAACACUGAUCACAUUCGAAUUCAUGAUAUCAAUUUGUUCCACGUUAACAAAACUCUUCUUAACGGCCCCAUGUCGUUGUGUGAAGACAUCCAAGCUAGGGCGGUUCUCUUGUCAGCCUUCAUUUGAAUAUUUACAUUUACCCUAAAGACUUAAAAAUGCUAUUCACCGCGGCCAUUCUUAUUAUUGUUUAAAAUAACUAGGAAAUAUGGCUGACAAACCAGCCAAACUGAUAUUCACUGAGCUAAAGUUUAGAUCGAGCAUAAUUACGAUGCAAAAGUCGUUAUUUAAAAACGUGAUGUUGUCAGCAACAGUUUCUCCCUUAUUCUUUAUUGGCAAAUCCCACCUGCGCAAAACUAUUUGUUGAGAUCAAAUUGUUCCGAGGCCUUUGACUUUUUCCGUGUUGAUUAAGAAUGCGCAUGACAUUAAGCGUGUAAAUGACUCUUUCCGCGCAAUUCAUUGUAAUUGAAUGAGCAUUAUUUUGGCGUCUUGGAUGUGAACGAUUAGUGCGUUCCUGCUUAGAGGGAUCAAGUUUCUUGCGUGUUUAGCACCUAGCAACAACAAAGUGGCUAUUUGCACAUGAGCGCGCUUUUUCAGUGGAGUGUAACACGUAAUGAGUGCGAGGAAACGACACGAUUGGAGAUUUCAGUCUUGUGUUUGUAAUUUUUUUCAGAGAGCGUAUCCGUCGCCGUUGUUGAUGACAGGUUUAGAGGACUAGUCCUCCUUCCACGAUAUCCACAAGAUGACCGAGGUCAACAGCCUUGCAACUAACUGUUCUUUUAUGGUCGAUAAUCCCGAGCGACGACGUCAGCUAUUCGGGACUAACAUCGCGGUCAUCGUGUUGAAUUCGAUUUUUGCGUUGACGACUACCUUCCAGAACUUGCCAGUUAUUUACGCGAUUUUGAAAACGCCAUCCUUGCACAAUCCUCCCUACGUCCUCCUGUGCUCACUGGCCACGACGGAUCUCUUGGUGGGAUGCGUCAUACAACCUCUGUACAUCGCACACAAUGCCAUGCUCGUCGAUGGACUGCGCUUUUCCUGCGCGCUGUGGUAUGCCAAAGAGACCCUGUUACUCUUAUUCAUGUUUCUAUCGAUCUGUACCUUGGUGUUGAUUAGCACCGAGCGCUGGCUCGCCUUACAUUUCCACCUCAGAUAUCGUGAAAUUGUCACGAUGUCUCGAACGCUCUCGUCGAUUGGGUCAACUUGGUUCUUUUGCACGGCGUCCGUCAUCGCCUGGCCGUUAGGUCUUAAUAUGUACAGUUUCACAAUGGUCGGCCUUAUUGUUAUUACAGCAGCCGCGCUUCUAUUGCUUUUUACGUAUAUUAAGUUAUUUCUGAUACUGCGGCGUCACAAAGCUCUCAUUGAGAGUCAAGCCAAGCUGCAACCCCAAUCUGUGAACUUACGAAAACAUAGAAAGUCGUCGGCCACCAUGCUGUACCUGGUGAUGUUGUUUUUCAUAUUCUACUCACCUACUUUUUACGCCAUGAUUCAUUACUUGGAAUCAGACUCUGAUUUCAGCAGCGUUAAUCAGACCAUUUUGUGGGAAGUUGCAAAAACAGUGGCGUUGAUAAACGCCUCGGUAAAUCCGAUCAUGUAUUACUGGAAAAUGCGGGAACUUCGACGCGCCAUGCGAAACGUAUUCGGUUUUUCCUCAGCAACGCGGGUUCACGUCGGAGAUGUCAUAACGCCCGGAUCGGGAAGCAUGGACAAUGACUUCAGAAGCAGGAACGAACAACAGCGCCAAGGGUCUUUCUCGGUGAGACCGCGGGGAAGCUUGUCCAACGUGGGGCCUGCCAGGUCUGAUAUACACCAAGAUCAGGUAACAGAAUCGACAACAGAAGCGAAGCCGCAGCAGGAAAAAAAGUUGUUCCUUUUGCCGAGAUUUCUGGAGCCUGGUCCGAGUUUUCGAGGAUAAUUUCCGCUGAAGAAGGGUGAAUAAAACAGGUUAUGUAAUAGAAGCAAUGAACCGUACGAUUUUUUGAGGUGGUUAUGGUGCGAAAAUUCUCGUUAAUUGUCCAGUAUUAUAUAGAAUCCAAGUGGGAUGACGUUAAAGCUCAGUUAAAACGUAGCUUUUUUUUAUAUCAGAGAUCAGAAAACAGAGUUCAAGUUUUCGGUAGAUUUACUGUUCUCGCCUAAACACCAAUCGUGUUUUAAUCGUCUACAUAUUGAGCUUGCGUUUAGUUUACCAGGAGAAAAGAUACAUAGGAUUUCUUUUGACUUUCCAGGGGCUAUUAGUUUAGUUGAUUUCGAUAUUCACGUCGUUGAAGACUGCAAUUUACAGACUUCUUUCAAGGGCCCUUAAAGCAACAAGAAUAGAGUAAAAAAUUAAUUUUCUCUUUCGCCUUGGCUGGAAUUGUCAUAUUUGUCCGUUCCUUAACGUAUUUAGUUUAACUGUUGAAGGCACUUCCCGUUUAGUUUAAGUUUUCAGUUUUAAUUCUUAACAAUUUUGUACUUUUAUAAUUCUUUCCUGAUUUUUCUUGAAAGGAUUCAACCAACAAAAGAAACAAUUCAGUUGAUGCGGAACAUCUAGCGCAGGAUAUGUUUAGACUUUAGUGGACAAUAUUUUGCGUUAUGCUAAUUCUCCUUUCUUUUUUAAUCAUCUGCCCUGGAGAAAACCGAUCUUCAAUUGCUAUCUGACAUGCUAUCAUUUGCUUUUCACUUAUUUUUUCUCCCCUUUUGGCAAAGCGACAAACUGAGUUAAAAACAAAAGCGCACCUGAUUAGAAUCGAAACUAAUAUGUUAGGUAUAUAGCUUGUUUAAUUUGGCAAUUUAAAUUAUGAAAAUGUUUUUAAACCUCCUCAGAUCUCAUAUAAAUUAUUUCCUUUGGCAUAAUAGCUGAUACCUGAUAGUGAUUUUAAUUUUUCUGCGUUUUUCCUUGUGUUAUGUUGUUAAAUAAAGACAAUAGUGUUUUGUCAUCGCGUUAUUGGCAGUUUCCCGUUUGGCGAUUCGUUAUUGAUAGUUUGCCAUGAUGUGUGAUAUUUUUAUUUAGUGCCGUCUUCUUAGUAGACUUGGCAGCAAUUGAAGAUGCUGUUCAAAAUUAGCGAAACUUCAACACCGAAUCUGUAAUUUAACGAUAAUCGCUUUUCCACCUUGAUUUAAAUAAGAUAAUAACGACACUGGAAAUUACCCACGAAUGUAAUGCUAUUGUACAAACGUCUUAAAAUGUACCUAGAUGUUUAAAAACAGGGUCAUGCAUACAGAAAAAACAAGAUAAGUGAAAGCUUUUUUCUCAACUUGAAAUGGCCGAGUCCUGAGAGCGUAUCCGUCGCCGUUGUUGAUGACAGGUUUAGAGGACUAGUCCUCCUUCCACGAUAUCCACAAGAUGACCGAGGUCAACAGCCUUGCAACUAACUGUUCUUUUAUGGUCGAUAAUCCCGAGCGACGACGUCAGCUAUUCGGGACUAACAUCGCGGUCAUCGUGUUGAAUUCGAUUUUUGCGUUGACGACUACCUUCCAGAACUUGCCAGUUAUUUACGCGAUUUUGAAAACGCCAUCCUUGCACAAUCCUCCCUACGUCCUCCUGUGCUCACUGGCCACGACGGAUCUCUUGGUGGGAUGCGUCAUACAACCUCUGUACAUCGCACACAAUGCCAUGCUCGUCGAUGGACUGCGCUUUUCCUGCGCGCUGUGGUAUGCCAAAGAGACCCUGUUACUCUUAUUCAUGUUUCUAUCGAUCUGUACCUUGGUGUUGAUUAGCACCGAGCGCUGGCUCGCCUUACAUUUCCACCUCAGAUAUCGUGAAAUUGUCACGAUGUCUCGAACGCUCUCGUCGAUUGGGUCAACUUGGUUCUUUUGCACGGCGUCCGUCAUCGCCUGGCCGUUAGGUCUUAAUAUGUACAGUUUCACAAUGGUCGGCCUUAUUGUUAUUACAGCAGCCGCGCUUCUAUUGCUUUUUACGUAUAUUAAGUUAUUUCUGAUACUGCGGCGUCACAAAGCUCUCAUUGAGAGUCAAGCCAAGCUGCAACCCCAAUCUGUGAACUUACGAAAACAUAGAAAGUCGUCGGCCACCAUGCUGUACCUGGUGAUGUUGUUUUUCAUAUUCUACUCACCUACUUUUUACGCCAUGAUUCAUUACUUGGAAUCAGACUCUGAUUUCAGCAGCGUUAAUCAGACCAUUUUGUGGGAAGUUGCAAAAACAGUGGCGUUGAUAAACGCCUCGGUAAAUCCGAUCAUGUAUUACUGGAAAAUGCGGGAACUUCGACGCGCCAUGCGAAACGUAUUCGGUUUUUCGUCAGCAACGCGGGUUCACGUCGGAGAUGUCAUAACGCCCGGAUCGGGAAGCAUGGACAAUGACUUCAGAAGCAGGAACGAACAACAGCGCCAAGGGUCUUUCUCGGUGAGACCGCGGGGAAGCUUGUCCAACGUGGGGCCUGCCAGGUCUGAUAUACACCAAGAUCAGGUAACAGAAUCGACAACAGAAGCGAAGCCGCAGCAGGAAAAAAAGUUGUUCCUUUUGCCGAGAUUUCUGGAGCCUGGUCCGAGUUUUCGAGGAUAAUUUCCGCUGAAGAAGGGUGAAUAAAACAGGUUAUGUAAUAGAAGCAAUGAACCGUACGAUUUUUUGAGGUGGUUAUGGUGCGAAAAUUCUCGUUAAUUGUCCAGUAUUAUAUAGAAUCCAAGUGGGAUGACGUUAAAGCUCAGUUAAAACGUAGCUUUUUUUUAUAUCAGAGAUCAGAAAACAGAGUUCAAGUUUUCGGUAGAUUUACUGUUCUCGCCUAAACACCAAUCGUGUUUUAAUCGUCUACAUAUUGAGCUUGCGUUUAGUUUACCAGGAGAAAAGAUACAUAGGAUUUCUUUUGACUUUCCAGGGGCUAUUAGUUUAGUUGAUUUCGAUAUUCACGUCGUUGAAGACUGCAAUUUACAGACUUCUUUCAAGGGCCCUUAAAGCAACAAGAAUAGAGUAAAAAAUUAAUUUUCUCUUUCGCCUUGGCUGGAAUUGUCAUAUUUGUCCGUUCCUUAACGUAUUUAGUUUAACUGUUGAAGGCACUUCCCGUUUAGUUUAAGUUUUCAGUUUUAAUUCUUAACAAUUUUGUACUUUUAUAAUUCUUUCCUGAUUUUUCUUGAAAGGAUUCAACCAACAAAAGAAACAAUUCAGUUGAUGCGGAACAUCUAGCGCAGGAUAUGUUUAGACUUUAGUGGACAAUAUUUUGCGUUAUGCUAAUUCUCCUUUCUUUUUUAAUCAUCUGCCCUGGAGAAAACCGAUCUUCAAUUGCUAUCUGACAUGCUAUCAUUUGCUUUUCACUUAUUUUUUCUCCCCUUUUGGCAAAGCGACAAACUGAGUUAAAA